ACGAUGAACNACUUCGGUGGGGAUUAGUGGCNNNNGGGUGAGUAACACGUGGGCAAUCUGCCCUGCACUCUGGGACAAGCCCUGGAAACGGGGUCUAAUACCGGAUACUGAUCCGUCUGGGCAUCCAANCGGUUCGAAAGCUCCGGCGGUGCAGGAUGAGCCCGCGGCCUAUCAGCUUGUUGGUGAGGUAGUGGCUCACCAAGGCGACGACGGGUAGCCGGCCUGAGAGGGCGACCGGCCACACUGGGACUGAGACACGGCCCAGACUCCUACGGGAGGCAGCAGUGGGGAAUAUUGCACAAUGGGCGAAAGCCUGAUGCAGCGACGCCGCGUGAGGGAUGACGGCCUUCGGGUUGUAAACCUCUUUCAGCAGGGAAGAAGCGAAAGUGACGGUACCUGCAGAAGAAGCGCCGGCUAACUACGUGCCAGCAGCCGCGGUAAUACGUAGGGCGCGAGCGUUGUCCGGAAUUAUUGGGCGUAAANAGCUCGUANGCGGCUUGUCACGUCGGUUGUGAAAGCCCGGGGCUUAACCCCGGGUCUGCANUCNAUACNGGCAGGCUAGAGUUCGGUAGGGGAGAUCGGAAUUCCUGGUGUAGCGGUGAAAUGCGCAGAUAUCAGGAGGAACACCGGUGGCGAANGCGGAUCUCUGGGCCGAUACUGACGCUGAGGAGCGAAAGCGUGGGGAGCGANCAGGAUUANAUACCCUGGUAGUCCACGCCGUAAAACGGGUGGGCACUAGGUGUGGGCAACANUUCCACGUUGUCCGUGCCNCANC
RNAcentral lists this ribosomal RNA (775 nucleotides) under Streptomyces iakyrus. RNAcentral's name for it is "partial 16S ribosomal RNA". It matches the Rfam family "Bacterial small subunit ribosomal RNA", at positions 66 to 852 of the family's 1533-position model. Lineage: Bacteria; Bacillati; Actinomycetota; Actinomycetes; Kitasatosporales; Streptomycetaceae. The record is from RNAcentral.